This 253-nucleotide ribosomal RNA is filed under the name uncultured bacterium. Its description in RNAcentral is "partial 16S ribosomal RNA". It matches the Rfam family "Bacterial small subunit ribosomal RNA", at positions 524 to 776 of the family's 1533-position model. The record is from RNAcentral.
UACGAAGGGGGCUAGCGUUGUUCGGAUUUACUGGGCGUAAAGCGCACGUAGGCGGAUCGAUCAGUCAGGGGUGAAAUCCCAGGGCUCAACCCUGGAACUGCCUUUGAUACUGUCGAUCUGGAGUAUGGAAGAGGUGAGUGGAAUUCCGAGUGUAGAGGUGAAAUUCGUAGAUAUUCGGAAGAACACCAGUGGCGAAGGCGGCUCACUGGACUGGUAUUGACGCUGAGGUGCGAAAGCGUGGGGAGCAAACAGG